UACAGAGGUCUCAAGCGUUGUUCGGAUUCAUUGGGCGUAAAGGGUGCGUAGGUGGCGCGGUAAGUCGGGUGUGAAAUUUCGGAGCUUAACUCCGAAACUGCAUUCGAUACUGCCGUGCUUGAGGACUGGAGAGGAGACUGGAAUUUACGGUGUAGCAGUGAAAUGCGUAGAGAUCGUAAGGAAGACCAGUGGCGAAGGCGGGUCUCUGGACAGUUCCUGACACUGAGGCACGAAAGCGUGGGGAGCAAACAGG
Molecule: ribosomal RNA, 253 nt
Filed under: uncultured bacterium
Lineage: Bacteria
Description: partial 16S ribosomal RNA
Rfam family: Bacterial small subunit ribosomal RNA
Source: RNAcentral